Molecule: ribosomal RNA, 253 nt
Filed under: uncultured bacterium
Lineage: Bacteria
Description: partial 16S ribosomal RNA
Rfam family: Bacterial small subunit ribosomal RNA
Source: RNAcentral
CACGUAGGGGGCUAGCGUUGUCCGGAAUCAUUGGGCGUAAAGCGCGUGUAGGCGGUCCGGUAAGUCCGCUGUGAAAGUCGGGGGCUCAACCCUCGAAUGCCGGUGGAUACUGUCGGGCUAGAGUGCGGAAGAGGCGAGUGGAAUUCCUGGUGUAGCGGUGAAAUGCGCAGAUAUCAGGAAGAACACCCGUGGCGAAGGCGGCUCUCUGGGACGGUACUGACGCUGAGACGCGAAAGCGUGGGGAGCGAACAGG